This 244-nucleotide ribosomal RNA is filed under the name Staphylococcus aureus. RNAcentral's name for it is "partial 23S ribosomal RNA". It matches the Rfam family "Bacterial large subunit ribosomal RNA", at positions 2634 to 2879 of the family's 2925-position model. The record is from RNAcentral. Lineage: Bacteria; Bacillati; Bacillota; Bacilli; Caryophanales; Staphylococcaceae.
GUCCGUAUCCGUCGUGGGAGAAGGAAAUUUGGGAGUCGCUGUCCUUAGUUCGAGAGGACCGGGAUGGACAUACCUGUGGUGUUCCAGUUGUCGUGCCAACGGCAUAGCUGGGUAGUUAUGUGUGGACGGGAUAAGUGCUGAAAGCAUCUAAGCAUGGAGCCCCCCUCAAGAUGAGAUUUCCCAACUUGGGUUAUAAGAUCCCUCAAAGAUGAUGAUGUUAAUAGGUUGGAGGUGGAAGCAUGGU